GACGAACGCUGGCGGCGUGCUUAACACAUGCCAGUCGAACGGAAAGGCCAGUGCUUGCCCUGGUACUCGAGUGGCGAACGGGUGAGUAACACGUGGGUGAUCUGCCUUGCACUCUGGGAUAAGCUUGGGAAACUGGGUCUAAUACCGGCUAUGAACUGCCUUUAGUGUGGUGGUUGGAAAGUUUUUUCGGUGCAAGAUGAGCUCGCGGCCUAUCAGCUUGUUGGUGGGGUAAUGGCCUACCAAGGCGUCGACGGGUAGCCGGCCUGAGAGGGUGUACGGCCACAUUGGGACUGAGAUACGGCCCAGACUCCUACGGGAGGCAGCAGUGGGGAAUAUUGCACAAUGGGCGGAAGCCUGAUGCAGCGACGCCGCGUGGGGGAUGACGGCCUUCGGGUUGUAAACUCCUUUCGACAGGGACGAAGCGUAAGUGACGGUACCUGUAUAAGAAGCACCGGCUAACUACGUG
This 466-nucleotide ribosomal RNA is filed under the name uncultured bacterium. RNAcentral's name for it is "partial 16S ribosomal RNA". It matches the Rfam family "Bacterial small subunit ribosomal RNA", at positions 28 to 507 of the family's 1533-position model. The record is from RNAcentral.